GGCACCAGGACUCCGACGGAGCCUGCUUGUAAACAGCCCCGGAGCUGCUGCUUCUACAGGCCCUCCGCAGACACAGGGCCCUCUCCAACCGGCACUGCUCAACCUCUCCCCGCGCUAGAAGCUUCAGCUCAACCAGAAGAGACGUUACACUGCACCGCGGCCCCACCGAUCCCCUCUGCUGCCCCUACUCCGGCCAGGCCCCCUCACCCUUCGUCCUCCUAGUGAGGAAAUGGGGAAGUCCUCACUUACCUGUCAUUACUUUCUACGCCAUCUUGGAUCCACUUGUCAACGUCCUUACAAAGCAUUAUGGGUAAAAAGUCUCUUCUCCCUUCUCUUCCUCCACCCCCCCCCCGCCUCUCCGGACAGAGAGCGAAGAAAGUUGAACCAGCCGGCAGAGGGUAGUUGUCCUUCUGCAGAGACCCAUUUGCUCGCCCAACCGGAGGAAGAGCUGUAGGAGGCAUGAGAGAGAAGGCAAGAUGGUUGGCACUGUAUAGCUCUGGGAAUACUGAGGUGCCUAGCUCUUGCAAGGUUUUUUAAAUGACUUUUUUUUGUUGCUGUUGGAAGAAAAGUAAAAUAAUUGGGUCGGCGCCACCCCAUCCCAUAAGCAGCCUUGUUGAGCAAAACAAGAGACUGGAAAGAGCAAUGACUGUGGGGCCAAACAUAGAUAACGAAAAUAAAUAACUGACAAAACCGGAGACUUCAUUCUGUUUUGGCAGCACUUUUUUCUUUUUCAAAAAUUGAAGAUACCUCUGUGUGUGAUAAUUUGGUUGGUCCUAAUACAGUGGAAGGUUCCAGUGGCAUGUCCAAGUCACAUCCUGGCUGUAAGGGGAUAUUUUCUGAGAUCUUUCAACAGCUACCCUAGGAUUUUUGAAUAUCAUUCCUAUCCUUUCAUUUAUUGGACCAUUUAAUAAUAGUGCCAUAUCCAUGUGAAUGCCAUUGGCAGGGG
Rhineura floridana is the source of this 946-nucleotide long non-coding RNA. RefSeq lists it as uncharacterized. The transcript has 3 exons. Lineage: Eukaryota; Metazoa; Chordata; Lepidosauria; Squamata; Rhineuridae. The record is from RefSeq and is a predicted model, not a curated record.